Molecule: unclassified non-coding RNA, 233 nt
Filed under: Hevea brasiliensis (rubber tree)
Lineage: Eukaryota; Viridiplantae; Streptophyta; Magnoliopsida; Malpighiales; Euphorbiaceae
Source: RNAcentral
GGAAGAUGUGUUCUAAAGAUGGACCAUCAUUGCGUGUGGGUUGUCAAUUGUGUUGGAGCGCUAAACUACAAGUAUUUCCUUCUUUUUCUGUUCUACACGUUCCUUGAGACUACUCUUGUGACUCUAGCAUUACUGCCACAGUUUAUUGCAUUCUUCAGUGAUGGGGAGAUACCUGGGACUCCGGGCACUCUUGCUACCACGUUCCUUGCAUUUGUCUUCAAUCUUGCUUUUGC